GGGUAUAGCUCCAUGGUAGAGUGCUUGCCUACCAAGCACAAGGCCCUGGGUUUGAUCCCAGCACUCCA
Molecule: transfer RNA, 68 nt
Filed under: Marmota monax (woodchuck)
Lineage: Eukaryota; Metazoa; Chordata; Mammalia; Rodentia; Sciuridae
Description: tRNA.Gly
Source: RNAcentral